GUCCUUGCAUCGCCUAGACAUAUACUAGGACUGGAACCAUACAGAGAAGAUAAGCAUGGCCUCAGAACAAUGAUAAUACGCAAGUGUCUUAAGGCAUCUUCUGAACGU
Anopheles moucheti is the source of this 108-nucleotide small nuclear RNA. The record is from RefSeq and is a predicted model, not a curated record. Lineage: Eukaryota; Metazoa; Arthropoda; Insecta; Diptera; Culicidae.